Molecule: non-coding RNA, 148 nt
Organism: Homo sapiens (human)
Lineage: Eukaryota; Metazoa; Chordata; Mammalia; Primates; Hominidae
Rfam family: Metazoan signal recognition particle RNA
About the family: The signal recognition particle (SRP) is a universally conserved ribonucleoprotein. It is involved in the co-translational targeting of proteins to membranes.
Source: Rfam
GCCAGGUGUGGUGGUACGCACCUGUAAUCCCAGCUACUCGGGAGGCUGAGGCAGGAGAAUCACUUGAACCCAGGAGGCGGAGGUUGCAGUGAGCCAAGAUCUUGCCACUGCACUCCAGCCUGGGUGACACAGUGAGAUCUUGUCUCAA